AGAGCGAACGCUGGCGGCAUGCUUAACACAUGCAAGUCGCACGGGCAUUUCGGUGUCAGUGGCGGACGGGUGAGUAACGCGUAGGUAUCUAUCCUUGGGUGGGGGAUAACGGUUGGAAACGACUGCUAAUACCGCAUGAUAACUGAGGUUUAAAGGCGCAAGUCGCCUGGGGAGGAGCCUGCGUACGAUUAGCUUGUUGGUGGGGUAAAGGCCUACCAAGGCGACGAUCGUUAGCUGGUCUGAGAGGAUGAUCAGCCACAUUGGGACUGAGACACGGCCCAAACUCCUACGGGAGGCAGCAGUGGGGAAUAUUGGACAAUGGGCGAAAGCCUGAUCCAGCAAUGCCGCGUGUGUGAAGAAGGUCUUCGGAUUGUAAAGCACUUUCGACAGGGACGAUGAUGACGGUACCUGUAGAAGAACGCCCCGGCUAACUUCGCGCCAGCAGCCGC
Molecule: ribosomal RNA, 449 nt
Filed under: uncultured bacterium
Lineage: Bacteria
Description: SSU rRNA
Rfam family: Bacterial small subunit ribosomal RNA
Source: RNAcentral